This 561-nucleotide ribosomal RNA is filed under the name uncultured bacterium. Its description in RNAcentral is "partial 16S ribosomal RNA". It matches the Rfam family "Bacterial small subunit ribosomal RNA", at positions 355 to 914 of the family's 1533-position model. The record is from RNAcentral.
UGAGGAAUAUUGGUCAAUGGGCGAGAGCCUGAACCAGCCAAGUCGCGUGAAGGAAGACUGCCUUAUGGGUUGUAAACUUCUUUUAUACAGGAAUAAAAAGGCUUACGUGUAGGCCAUUGCAAGUACUGUAUGAAUAAGCAUCGGCUAACUCCGUGCCAGCAGCCGCGGUAAUACGGAGGAUGCGAGCGUUAUCCGGAUUUAUUGGGUUUAAAGGGUGCGCAGGCGGGCUUUUAAGUCAGCGGUGAAAUCUGGACGCUUAACGUCCAAACUGCCGUUGAAACUGGGAGUCUUGAGUAUGGAUGAAGUAGGCGGAAUUCGUUGUGUAGCGGUGACAUGCAUAGAUAUAACGAGGAACUCCGAUUGCGUAGGCAGCUUACUAAGCCAUAACUGACGCUCAUGCACGAAAGCGUGGGGAUCAAACAGGAUUAGAUACCCUGGUAGUCCACGCCGUAAAACGAUGAUUACUAGUUGUAUGCGAUAUGAUAGUAUGUGACUAAGCGAAAGCGAUAAGUAAUCCACCUGGGGAGUGCGCCGGCAACGGUGAAACUCAAAGGAAUUGAC